CUUUUGAUUGUGGAGGCUGGUAGCAAGCGAGUAGAAGGGAUCAUCUCAUUGAGUGACGUGUUCAGGUUUCUGCUUGGUUAGCUUGGAUGUUAGCCAUGAUCUGCAUGGAAGUUUCUGCUAUGGUCAUACUGAGGAAGGCUCACUUUAUUCUUGUUAAGUCUCUUCCAUCGCAAGGACCCCAUGCGUCUGAGCCCUGCCCACUUUUUAGGUUAGAAUAUUCAGAGCAUAAAAAGAAUUUGUAAAUUGUGAGUAUUCAAAUUUUCCCCUUACAACCCAUUUAUUUUUAGCUCAAUUGUCCUGCUGGAGCAGCUGUAAAAUGAGGCUUUAAAAGUGCAGUAAACUGCCUGUGGCACUCCAUUAUUGUUGGUGGGCUAUGCGUUAAAAUGGUUCAUUUUCUAUUUCUGAUUCUGCCAUCUAAAGUGAGGCAAAACAAUUACA
This 438-nucleotide unclassified non-coding RNA is filed under the name Hevea brasiliensis (rubber tree). The record is from RNAcentral. Lineage: Eukaryota; Viridiplantae; Streptophyta; Magnoliopsida; Malpighiales; Euphorbiaceae.